UCGGAUCAUAUUUAUAUAUAUUUUUACUUCGAAUUCACUCGUCUUUUCUUAGUUAGUUUCUUUUAUUUUUGAGCUAUUUACGUUAUUUUUGUGUUUAUAGGAUUUGUUAUGCAAAGAAAAUAAAAAUAGAACAAGUGAAAUUUUAUGUAAUAAAUUCGUCAAACUGUCUGUGUAGAUCAGCUUUUAAAUAAAAUUAAUUAAAAAAAUAAUAAUAAUGAUAAAUCAUGAUGAUGUUUGAAACAUCAUCAUGAUUCAUGUUUUGUGGCAGGAAGAAAGGCAACAAUGGAAUAAAAAUAGGAGGAAAGUGAGAGACUCACGGGGUUGAAAGGCAGAAAAGAAAGAAAACAGAAAUAAAUAGUGGGAGACAGCUACGGAUCCAAGGGAAAAAGGCAGCAAGGCUGCCAGAAAGAAAAGAAUAAAAGAAAGCUGCCUUGCAGCACACCAGGGAGAAGAAAAAGGGGGAGCUGCCUUUGGGCAGCUCGCAGGGACGCAAGGGACAGGGUGAGCACAGGGAGCUGCCCUUUUGGGCAGCGUGAGAGUUUUGAGAACCAGCGUGGGAAAGGACAGCAGGCACGGGAUUGGAAGGCAUGCAGAGGAAUAUAUACGGGACAGCCAAGAGAGGGUCAGAGAAGAAAAAGCUGCCCUUGCAGCCUUGAAAAACAGAAAGCUUGCGCGGACGGGAGGAGAGAGUAGCGCGGAUGGGAGGAGAACAGAGACAACGUCAGGUGGACAGAAGCUGCAAGCCUUCUCUCUCUCGGUUAAAUCUUUCCAACUUAUGUUUUACUUUCGGUUUAAUCUUUCUAAACUUUUAUUUUAUUUUUGUUUUAAUAAUGUGUAAUUAAUUUUAUUUUGGCUAGAGGUUAAUUCGAAACCAUGAAUAUAUUUGUAAUAUGAAUUGAUUACCUUCGGUUGUGAUUUCAUAAGUUGUGAUUUCAAUUUACUUAUCCGUUCGUCGUAUAAAAACUGAUUUGUGUAUGUUGGUUGAGAGUGCACGCUUAAUUUACAUGCAUGAAUUUGAUGCUAGAAUAUAAGUGAAUUUCACCUAAUCGUUAUGAACUUAUUUUCACAAGUAGUAAAGGUUGCUAGUCACAAUCACGUUAAGUAAAUUCUUGGCAAGAGUAUCAUGCUUUUCAUAGUUACGAAUGCCUCGUCAAUGCUUAUAGUUUUCACAAAGUUUAAUGAUCUUUGAUUGUAUCUCUAUUGUGCUUUUCACGUAGGGGACUUUUGAAGAAUGUUUUGAAUUGUUGUAUGCGUUUUCCCGUCCAAUUCAAUAACUUAAGGAAAACUUGAAGAUUAAAAAAGUGCUGUUCACGGUUAAUCUGGAGUAUUGAAAUUCACAAUUUAUUGAAAGAACAACUGGAAAUCAUUUUGUAUGCAAGUAUAACAUGUGUGGAGAAGAACCCUCUAGCUAGUCCGUCACCUAUCCUUUCACCUUAAUUUCAUGUUUUUGUCAAUUCUGUAAUUUAAUUAAGUUUAAUUUAUUUUUCAUCAAAACCAAACACCCAUCCAUUAUUAAAUUAUAUUAUUUAUUUAGUUUUCUUUAUUGUUAGUCUUUUAAUUUAAUUUCCGUCCAUUUCAGUUCCUAGUGUUUAAUUUAAUUGUUUUCAUUAUUUUGAGUCAUUUUAAGUGUGUUUCGAGUUAUUAGAGUUUUUAGCCUAGUUUUGUGUCCUUGAGUCUUGUUUAAUAUUUUUAAAUUAAUUUAGAAUAGAUUAGCAAUCCCUCCUAAUCCCCGGCCUAGAACGAUACCCUACUUACAUCUAUACUACAAUUGUCAAAAAGAGGGUUUAAUUUGUGUGUCAAGUAAUUCUCACAUCAAAUUUUGGCGCCGUUGCCGGGGAUUAGCAACUUUGCUAAUCCUUUUUAUUUUUGUUUUUGUUUUUUUAUAUUGGUGUUUGUGUAUUUUACUUUUGAUAUUUGAUUUAUUUUUCUUUCUUUGAUUUUAGGUUCAAAUGGAGCCGAGGGAAAUUUAAAGGAAAGAUGCGUCCGGCUAAAGACGUUAAAUCAAGCGCUUCUUGGGAGGCAACCCAAGCAUUCAACGAAGGGAGACUUUGGAAUCGUUAACCCAAUCAGAUUUGCAUUUUUACACCCUUAUCUUUAAUGCUUUCAUUUUGUCUUGUUUAGUUAGUUGUGUUAUUUGUUUGAUUUCUGUGAGUUUGUGUUAUUUAGUUUAAGUGUGGGGGAAGGUUAACCAAAGUCUCUUUACAUUAAUUUACAUUUAUAAAAAAAAAAAAAAAAAAAAUAAAAAAAAAAUAAAAAAAAAAAAAAAGAUGGCGCCGUUGAAUUAAUGAUAAAAAAAAAAUUUACAUAAAAAAAAAAAAAAAAAAAAAAGUACAAAUAUUUUACAAUAAUGUAAACUAAUAGUAUUCAUUGGUCGGGUGGUGCUUCGGUAGUAGGCGGGGCUUCAGCAGUCGGGGGGGCCACAGAAGGAGGAGGCAGCAGAGGUUGAUCAGUUGGAGCUUCACUACGCGGUGCCGCCCCAGAAGACGAAGGCAGAUGCGGUUGGAACAAACCCACAAACCUCCGAUGAUCAAGUAAAAUUUGACCAUCGGUGUCCUGCAUCUGGUCAAUCUUCCUCUUCAUGCUGGUGGCAUAGCUGUGUGCGAGCUUGUGCAAUUCCUUAUUCUCAUGCUUGAGCCCUUUAAUCUCUUGCUUGAGACUCUGUAUUUCAGCCACCAAGGAUUCAACGUGACGGGUUCGGGCAUAUAGGCGUUGGGCCAUGUUGGAUACGGAACCCGCACACUGCACACUGAGAGCCAGAGACUCCUUGACCGCCAAUUCAUCAGACCGCCUUGCGAGCAGUCUGUUAUCUCUGGGAGUGACAAGGUUUCGGGCCACCACCGCAGCGGUCAUGUCAUUUUUCAUCAUCGAAUCCCCCACGGUAAGGGGACCGGUAGGGGAUAUGAAGGAUGGCCGCCAUAUGUUGUCUGGUGAAGGCGGAGCUGCCUCUUCACCAAUGUUCAAGUCAAAACGACGAUCAGAAGGGCCAGACAUUUUUCAGAGGUGGUAAAGAAAGAAGAGAGUCGGAAUGAUCAAGAUUAAACAAGUGCAAGAAGGGAGUGUUUACAGGAGGGGUACUCAAGUGUGUUGUGGAACAAGCUUAACGUCUCUAUAAAAAGGAAGAAAUCAAAGAGGCGCUCCUCAGAGAAGCGUCCUCUCGCAAAUCGAAGAGUCGGGGCUCCGUUCUCAAACGUCUGAUUCUUUUCUCAAAAGAGGAGUUUCCUUUCUCAAAAGCCGGAUUAUUUUCUCAAAAGAGGCGUUUCAUUUCUUAAAGGCUGGGCUUGCUCAGAAACCACGAGCCGAACCCCGGAUUUCAAAAGAUCAAUUUGUCCAGACGUGUCGUCACUUGUCACACGCAAAUUGCUUUGCGGAAAUCUCGGGCAAUUUGUCGAAGCACCAAUUCAGAAAUCGAAGAGGGAAAUUCAACAGUCAAAGACACGCUAGCUUUCUCAAAAGCUGGGCUUCAACCCACGGGAAAAUCUUCUUUUCCAGAUUUAUCCGCACGUGUCACAUGCUACCUCUACAAUCGACGACGAUGCUCAGAGCUCGAAGCGCCGAUUACAGAUAUCAAUGAGGAAUCAGCUUUGCGGAAAUUACGGGCAGCUUUGUCAGAAAGCGCGUAAUUUGUAUUCUUCACCCAUCCACCGGCUGCCGACAAUGAGUGAGAGAACAGUUCCGGUUGUGAAGACAAGUCCUAUAAGUUUCUACCUUCGCCUUCCACAGCAAAAGCACACUCUCUCAGCACACCCUCUCAACACCUCUUCAUCUCCGAAAAUGCAUUCCCAAAGAAUCCUCUCGAGUCACUCUGUGUUCCUCAUUCCUUGGGAUACUCCAGCGAACAACCCAUUCAAAGCAAAAGUAUUUCAUAUCAUAAAGGUUGAAAGCAAGAGUAUCUCAUAUCAUGCUUUCUCCAUGUCCUUCUCCUUGUCUUUGUUUUCCGACAAGGAGAAAGAGAGCAAUCAGCCAGCAUUUGGUAUCAAUCUUCCAAUCUGGAGCCAACUGCCUGGAACCCUUUCCUGAUUGCUUACCUAGCCUUGCUCUCGAGUACUCAUCUUCUUCAUCUUAUGCUUCCGUUUUGUCUACCACAUCUACUUGGGGGACAAGUAAGGGAGGUGAAAAUGAGACCUCGAAGCAUGUGGAGACAAUUCAGCUAGGGACAAGGAGAAAGAAAGCAAGAGGUGGGCACUUGGAAAGAUUGAAGAAAGAAAUAAGGACCAACACCUUUCCCUCGUGCCUGCCCGUUGUGCAGAAGAAACAAGCAGAGAAGAAUGCAGCUUGCACAAUCAUCCCAGCGGAAGGAGUCCGAACUGAGGAACUAGAGAAGCUGCCACAUCUGCUUGGAGAACAAAUAAGGAACUGCAACAUAACCAAAGAGCAAAGCUUCGCCGUACAAUAUCAUAAAAUCAUCACUUGCAAGUGAAAAGCUAAGUGUCACCCUGUUCAAGAAAGAAAGUGGAAAGCUGUGGAAAGUCAACAAGACCAAUGACCAAUGAUUAUUUAUUAGUUUUAUUCAUUAUCUUUUAUCGUAAUUUUCAAUUUUUCGUUUGCAAUUUUUUUUUAAUUAAUUUUCUUGCGUACUUAACUGAAUUUUUCCUUUUCUUUGCAGGAACUUUUGGUUAUUUCCACCCUUGAAGUUGAUUGCAGAAUUUUAGCUUGGGGGUCAUCGCUUGAUUUUACUGCAAAUUAGGGAAGUUUUCAGUCCAAUUGCGUUAUUUUGUUUCUUAUUAUUUAUUUAUUUUAUUUUAUUUUUUUAUUUGCAUUAUAGUGUUUUCUGACAUUGGGGACAAUGUCCAGUUUAAGUGUGGGGGUAGAAAUCUCCAGAAUUUCAUUUGUUUCUGUGUUGCUGUUUUUUGUGUUCUUAAUUAGUUUUGUUUUCUUUUAAAAAAAAAAAAAAAAAAAAAAAAAAAAAUUUAAAUAAAAAAAAAUAAAUAAAUAAAAAAUCGGAAAAUUUAAAAAUCUAAAAAUAUUGUCUUGUUUCCCUUAUUGUUUUGAAUUAGAUUUUUGUUAGUUUCCCGACCCAAUGAUAUAAUUGGAUCAAAUUUGAACCAUGAUCAUCAAGAACUUAGUUAACAUGUGUUUUGUGAAAUUCCUAAUUCUCUUGUUAGUUUUGUACAUGUUUGAUCAUCUUUGAAAAACCAAAUGCACAUAGCCUUGUUAAUGUGAAACUAAAGUAUGACUUAAAGCUUCAUAUGUGAAUUUAGUGACCAUAUACAUCCUAUGUGAGUUUUUGAGCCGAUUGAAAGUGUGUGCAUUUUUCAUACACUCCUAUUCUUUCAUGUGUGAUGAACUUAUGUGAGAUACAUCUCUAGAACUUGCGUAACGAUCUUUCGAAAUGUUUGUCAUCGAUUGCAUGAACUUGGAAAUGAUAGAGGCAUUAGGUUUACCACUAUGGCCCAAAGAACCAUGUUUCCCAAAGAAAAUUGAUAUCAUUAGAUUGCCAAUUUGAGCCGUGUAUGUUGAGCCUUUUAUUUCUUAUCACCAGAUAUGUCUACCCUUAUACCUGAAACAUUUUUCCUUACCCUUUCCAAGCGAGCAAUGUGAGAUUGUCUUAUGAGAAAUGUUUGUAAAGUACUUUGAAGGUGUUUGGCAAAAAAAAUAAGUGUGGGGGUAUUUCAUGUUUGUAUUAAAAAAAAAAAAAAAAAAAAAAGAAAGAAAAAGAAAGAUUGUAUACGAAGAAAGAAAAAAAAAUAAUGUUUUUAAAGUUUCAGUUUAAGGGUGUGAUUGGAGGUUUCAGAAGAAUCGUUGGAAAGAUUGAGUUCUUAUAAAUCUAAACAAAAGAAUUGCUUGCAAUGUAGCUUGGAACUUGUGUUUUCCUAUUCUUUCUUUCGUUUCAAUAACCCUAUCCCUAAGCCUCAUUACAUCCAAUAAAAGUCCUCUUGAUUUAAGUUUUGCAAUUAUGAUUGUGGAGAUGAGAUCUUUAUGCAAGCUUAUGGUAGAAAUUUCACAUUUGAUUCUUUGAGCAAAACACAUUAAAACUAAACACAUGUGUGAUUCAGUGCAUAUCCCGUGAGAAGGUCGCUAGUUUGCAUAUGAUGAUUUUAAAAAUAAAAACUUGAAAUUGCAUUAGCAUGGCUAUCUCACACACUACACUUCAAGGAUGAUUUAAAGAUUACUGCUAAUAUUUGAAAAAGGAAGAUGAACUUGGGAUUAGUUCCUUGAUGCUAGCUAUGGUUCUUGAUGAUUUGUUUUCUUGAAUGAAAUUCUAUGAGGGUCACAUAGAGGGAAGCUAAUGUUUUUCUUUGUUACUUCUUGUUCUUAUUUUCUUUGUUUUGCUCGAGGACUAGCAAAAGUUAAGUGUGGGGGUAUUUGAUCGGAUCAUAUUUAUAUAUAUUUUUACUUCGAAUUCACUCGUCUUUUCUUAGUUAGUUUCUUUUAUUUUUUGAGCUAUUUACGUUAUUUUUGUGUUUAUAGGAUUUGUUAUGCAAAAAAAAAUAAAAAUAGAACAAGUGAAAUUUUAUGUAAUAAAUUCGUCAAACUGUCUGUGUAGAUCAGCUUUUAAAUAAAAUUAAUUAAAAAAAUAAUAAUAAUGAUAAAUCAUGAUGAUGUUUGAAACAUCAUCAUGAUUCAUGUUUUGUGGCAGGAAGAAAGGCAUAACAAUGGAAUAAAAAUAGGAGGAAAGUGAGAGACUCACGGGGUUGAAAGGCAGAAAAGAAAGAAAACAGAAAUAAAUAGUGGGAGACAGCUACGGAUCCAAGGGAAAAAGGCAGCAAGGCUGCCAGAAAGAAAAGAAUAAAAGAAAGCUGCCUUGCAGCACACCAGGGAGAAGAAAAAGGGGGAGCUGCCUUUGGGCAGCUCGCAGGGACGCAAGGGACAGGGUGAGCACAGGGAGCUGCCCUUUUGGGCAGCGUGAGAGUUUUGAGAACCAGCGUGGGAAAGGACAGCAGGCACGGGAUUGGAAGGCAUGCAGAGGAAAUAUAUACGGGACAGCCAAGAGAGGGUCAGAGAAGAAAAAAGCUGCCCUUGCAGCCUUGAAAAACAGAAAGCUUGCGCGGACGGGAGGAGAGAGUAGCGCGGAUGGGAGGAGAACAGAGACAACGUCAGGUGGACAGAAGCUGCAAGCCUUCUCUCUCUCGGUUAAAUCUUUCCAACUUAUGUUUUACUUUCGGUUUAAUCUUUCUAAACUUUUAUUUUAUUUUUGUUUUAAUAAUGUGUAAUUAAUUUUAUUUUGGCUAGAGGUUAAUUCGAAACCAUGAAUAUAUUUGUAAUAUGAAUUGAUUACCUUCGGUUGUGAUUUCAUAAGUUGUGAUUUCAAUUUACUUAUCCGUUCGUAUAAAAACUGAUUUGUGUAUGUUGGUUGAGAGUGCACGCUUAAUUUACAUGCAUGAAUUUGAUGCUAGAAUAUAAGUGAAUUUC
Molecule: long non-coding RNA, 7350 nt
Filed under: Malus domestica (apple)
Lineage: Eukaryota; Viridiplantae; Streptophyta; Magnoliopsida; Rosales; Rosaceae
Description: long non-coding RNA (MDOM_LNC015809)
Source: RNAcentral